RNAcentral lists this ribosomal RNA (253 nucleotides) under uncultured bacterium. RNAcentral's name for it is "partial 16S ribosomal RNA". It matches the Rfam family "Bacterial small subunit ribosomal RNA", at positions 524 to 776 of the family's 1533-position model. The record is from RNAcentral.
UACGUAGGGGGCUAGCGUUGUCCGGAAUCAUUGGGCGUAAAGCGCGUGUAGGCGGUCCGGUAAGUCCGCUGUGAAAGUCGGGGGCUCAACCCUCGGAUGCCGGUGGAUACUGUCGGGCUUGAGUACGGAAGAGGCGAGUGGAAUUCCUGGUGUAGCGGUGAAAUGCGCAGAUAUCAGGAGGAACACCAAUUGCGAAGGCAGUUCUCUGGGCCGUAACUGACGCUGAGGAGCGAAAGCGUGGGGAGCGAACAGG